GGGGGGGGGGUGCACCUGCAGUCGAACGGUGAAGCUCCAGCUUGCUGGAGUGGAUCAGUGGCGAACGGGUGAGUAACACGUGAGCAACCUGCCCCGGACUCUGGGAUAAGCGCUGGAAACGGCGUCUAAUACUGGAUACGCACCAGAACGGCAUCGUUACUGGUGGGAAAGAUUUUUCGGUCUGGGAUGGGCUCGCGGCCUAUCAGCUUGUUGGUGAGGUAAUGGCUCACCAAGGCGUCGACGGGUAGCCGGCCUGAGAGGGUGACCGGCCACACUGGGACUGAGACACGGCCCAGACUCCUACGGGAGGCAGCAGUGGGGAAUAUUGCACAAUGGGCGGAAGCCUGAUGCAGCAACGCCGCGUGAGGGAUGACGGCCUUCGGGUUGUAAACCUCUUUUAGCAGGGAAGAAGCGAGAGUGACGGUACCUGCAGAAAAAGCGCCGGCUAACUACGUGCCAGCAGCCGCGGUAAUACGUAGGGCGCAAGCGUUAUCCGGAAUUAUUGGGCGUAAAGAGCUCGUAGGCGGUCUGUCGCGUCUGCUGUGAAAACCCGAGGCUCAACCUCGGGCCUGCAGUGGGUACGGGCAGACUAGAGUGCGGUAGGGGAGAUUGGAAUUCCUGGUGUAGCGGUGGAAUGCGCAGAUAUCAGGAGGAACACCGAUGGCGAAGGCAGAUCUCUGGGCCGUAACUGACGCUGAGGAGCGAAAGGGUGGGGAGCAAACAGGCUUAGAUACCCUGGUAGUCCACCCCGUAAACGUUGGGAACUAGUUGUGGGGGCCUUUCCACGGUCUCCGUGACGCAGCUAACGCAUUAAGUUCCCCGCCUGGGGAGUACGGCCGCAAGGCUAAAACUCAAAGGAAUUGACGGGGACCCGCACAAGCGGCGGAGCAUGCGGAUUAU
Molecule: ribosomal RNA, 900 nt
Filed under: Microbacterium sp.
Lineage: Bacteria; Bacillati; Actinomycetota; Actinomycetes; Micrococcales; Microbacteriaceae
Description: bacterial SSU rRNA
Rfam family: Bacterial small subunit ribosomal RNA
Source: RNAcentral